GAGGUAUUAGUAAAAUAUUUACAUAACUUUGUCAAAGUUAAAUUAUAGGUUAAAGUCCUUUAUACCUCC
This 69-nucleotide transfer RNA is filed under the name Parascaptor leucura (white-tailed mole). RNAcentral's name for it is "tRNA-Asp". It matches the Rfam family "tRNA". Rfam says of the family: Transfer RNA (tRNA) molecules are approximately 80 nucleotides in length. Their secondary structure includes four short double-helical elements and three loops (D, anti-codon, and T loops). The record is from RNAcentral. Lineage: Eukaryota; Metazoa; Chordata; Mammalia; Eulipotyphla; Talpidae.